Molecule: ribosomal RNA, 301 nt
Filed under: uncultured bacterium
Lineage: Bacteria
Description: partial 16S ribosomal RNA
Rfam family: Bacterial small subunit ribosomal RNA
Source: RNAcentral
CAGCAGCCGCGGUAAUACGAAGGGUGCAAGCGUUAAUCGGAAUUACUGGGCGUAAAGCGUGCGUAGGCGGUUUGUUAAGUCUGUUGUGAAAUCCCCGGGCUCAACCUGGGAAUGGCAAUGGAUACUGGCAAGCUAGAGUGUGUCAGAGGAUGGUGGAAUUCCCGGUGUAGCGGUGAAAUGCGUAGAGAUCGGGAGGAACAUCAGUGGCGAAGGCGGCCAUCUGGGACAACACUGACGCUGAGGCACGAAAGCGUGGGGAGCAAACAGGAUUAGAUACCCCUGUAGUCCCUGUCUCUUAUAA